This 867-nucleotide ribosomal RNA is filed under the name uncultured Chloroflexota bacterium. RNAcentral's name for it is "bacterial SSU rRNA". It matches the Rfam family "Bacterial small subunit ribosomal RNA", at positions 499 to 1376 of the family's 1533-position model. The record is from RNAcentral. Lineage: Bacteria; Bacillati; Chloroflexota.
GCCCUUGUGCCAGCCGCCGCGGGUAAAACGUAGGACACAAGCGUUAUCCGGAUUUACUGGGCGUAAAGAGCGUUGAGGCGGUUCCGUAAGUUGGACGUGAAAGCCCUAGGCUCAACUGAGGGACGUCGUUCAAUACUGCGGGACUUGAGGGCAGCAGAGGGAGGUGGAAUUCUCUAGUGUAGCGGGUGAAAUGCGUAGAUAUUAGGAGGAACACCAGUGGCGAAGGCGACCUCCUGGGCUGCUCCUGACGCUGAAGGCGAAGGCUAGGGUAGCAAACGGGAUUAGAAACCCCGGUAGUCCUAGCAGUAAACGAUGGAUGCUGGGUGUGGGGAGGUAUAGAUUCCUCCCGUGCCGAAGCUAACGCGUUAAGCAUCCCGCCUGAGGAUUACGGCCGCAAGGCUAAAACUCAAACGAAUUGACGGGGACCCGCACAAGCAGCGGAGCGUGUGGUUUAAUUCGAUGCUACACGAAGAACCUUACCUGGGUUUACAUGCAAGUAGUAGUGAAGCGAAAGCUGAUCGACCUUCGGGGAGCUUGCACAGGUGCUGCAUGGCUGUCGUCAGCUCGUGCCGUGAGGUGUCGGGUUAAGUCCCGUAACGAGCGCAACCCUUGUCCUUAGUUACAAGUGUCUAAGGAGACUGCCCGGGACAACUGGGAGGAAGGUGGGGAUGACGUCAAGUCAGCAUGGCCUAUAUGUCCAGGGCUACACACACGCUACAAUGGCCGGUACAAUGGGUCGCCAAACCGUAAGGUGGAGCCAAUCCCGUAAAGCCGGUCCAAGUUCGGAUUGUGGGCUGCAACUCGCCCACAUGAAGCUGGAGUUGCUAGUAACCGUGGGUCAGCUAUACUACGGUGAAUACGUUCCCG